RNAcentral lists this ribosomal RNA (445 nucleotides) under uncultured bacterium. RNAcentral describes it as "bacterial SSU rRNA". It matches the Rfam family "Bacterial small subunit ribosomal RNA", at positions 29 to 517 of the family's 1533-position model. The record is from RNAcentral.
AACGAACGCUGGCGGCAUGCCUAACACAUGCAAGUCGAACGAGACCUUCGGGUCUAGUGGCGCACGGGUGCGUAACGCGUGGGAAUCUGCCCUUGGGUUCGGAAUAACAGUUAGAAAUGACUGCUAAUACCGGAUAAUGUCUUCGGACCAAAGAUUUAUCGCCCAGGGAUGAGCCCGCGUAGGAUUAGCUAGUUGGUGAGGUAAAGGCUCACCAAGGCGACGAUCCUUAGCUGGUCUGAGAGGAUGAUCAGCCGCACUGGGACUGAGACACGGCCCAGACUCCUACGGGAGGCAGCAGUGGGGAAUAUUGCGCAAUGGGCGAAAGCCUGACGCAGCGACGCCGCGUGUGGGGAUGACGGCCUUCGGUGUAACCACUCGUCGCGAGGGACGAAGAUCUGACGGUACCUCGAAAGGAAGCACCGGCUAACUCCUGUGCCAGCAGCCG